CAAUGGCGUGAACAAAGGGAUGCGAAGUGGCGACAUGGAGCGAAUCCCAAAAACAACGCCCCAGUUCGGAUUGUAGUCUGCAACCCGACUACAUGAAGCCGGAAUCGCUAGUAAUCGCGGGUCAGCAUACCGCGGUGAAUACGUUCCCGGGCCUUGUACACACCGCCCGUCACACCACGAAAGUUGGUAACACCCGAAGCCGGUGGCCUAACCCUUAGGGGAGGGAGCUGUCGAAGGUGGGACUGAUGAUUGGGGUGAAGUCGUAACAAGGUACC
RNAcentral lists this ribosomal RNA (275 nucleotides) under uncultured bacterium. RNAcentral describes it as "partial 16S ribosomal RNA". It matches the Rfam family "Bacterial small subunit ribosomal RNA", at positions 1228 to 1500 of the family's 1533-position model. The record is from RNAcentral.